This 446-nucleotide ribosomal RNA is filed under the name uncultured bacterium. RNAcentral describes it as "partial 16S ribosomal RNA". It matches the Rfam family "Bacterial small subunit ribosomal RNA", at positions 330 to 793 of the family's 1533-position model. The record is from RNAcentral.
UCCAGACUCCUACGGGAGGCAGCAGUGGGGAAUAUUGCACAAUGGGGGAAACCCUGAUGCAGCGACGCCGCGUGAGCGAUGAAGUAUUUCGGUAUGUAAAGCUCUAUCAGCAGGGAAGAAGAUGACGGUACCUGACUAAGAAGCCCCGGCUAACUACGUGCCAGCAGCCGCGGUAAUACGUAGGGGGCAAGCGUUAUCCGGAUUUACUGGGUGUAAAGGGAGCGUAGACGGCGAUGCAAGCCAGAUGUGAAAGCCCGGGGCUCAACCCCGGGACUGCAUUUGGAACUGUGUGGCUGGAGUGCAGGAGGGGCAGGCGGAAUUCCUGGUGUAGCGGUGAAAUGCGUAGAUAUCAGGAGGAACACCGGUGGCGAAGGCGGCCUGCUGGACUGCGACUGACGUUGAGGCCCGAAAGCGUGGGGAGCAAACAGGAUUAGAUACCCGUGUAG